GAUGAAGAACGUAGCGAAAUGCGAUACGUAAUGUGAAUUGCAGAAUUCAGUGAAUCAUCGAAUCUUUGAACGCACAUUGCGCCCGCUAGUAUUCUGGCGGGCAUGCCUGUCCGAGCGUCAUUUCAACCCAUCAAGCUUAGCGCUUGUGUUGGAGCCCUGCGGCCGCCGCAGCCUCCUAAAAUCAGUGGCGGGCUCGCUAUCAUGCUGAGUGCAGUAGUAUUCUUCUCACUCCUGUGGUGUAGCGGGUAACCAGCCGUAAACCCCCCCAUCUAUAAAGGUUGACCUCGGAUCAGGUAGGAAUACCCGCUGAACUUAAGCAUAUCAAUAAGCGGAGGA
Molecule: unclassified non-coding RNA, 336 nt
Filed under: soil metagenome
Description: partial contains 5.8S ribosomal RNA, internal transcribed spacer 2, and large subunit ribosomal RNA
Rfam family: 5.8S ribosomal RNA (bases 1-120)
Source: RNAcentral